CCUACGGGGGGCUGCAGUGGGGAAUAUUGCACAAUGGAGGGAACUCUGAUGCAGCGACGCCGCGUGAGUGAAGAAGGUCUUCGGAUCGUAAAACUCUGUCCUUGGUGAAGAAAAGGACGGUAGCCAAGGAGGAAGCCCCGGCUAACUACGUGCCAGCAGCCGCGGUAAUACGUAGGGGGCGAGCGUUGUCCGGAUUUACUGGGCGUAAAGGGUGAGUAGGCGGUUAUAUAUGUCAGGUGUAAAAGAUCAUGGCUCAACCAUGGUUGGCACUUGAAACUGUAUGACUUGAGUGCAGGAGAGGUAAGCGGAAUUCCUAGUGUAGCGGUGAAAUGCGUAGAUAUUAGGAGGAACACCAGUGGCGAAGGCGGCUUACUGGACUGUAACUGACGCUGAGACACGAAAGCGUGGGUAGCAAACAGGAUUAGAUACCCGGGUAGUC
This 439-nucleotide ribosomal RNA is filed under the name uncultured bacterium. RNAcentral's name for it is "partial 16S ribosomal RNA". It matches the Rfam family "Bacterial small subunit ribosomal RNA", at positions 338 to 795 of the family's 1533-position model. The record is from RNAcentral.